ACUAAUUAUGAACCUUUUGGCUUUCCAUACAGUAAUUGACAAAAUGUUGAGCUAAACCUUUACAGAGGUUAUUUGUAAGCUUUCUCUCUUGCUGAAUGUGGUUUCUUGCUGGGAGCGGGUAGUGGUGAUCGGCCAUCGUCUUUAUAAUACAAGAGGUUAUAAUAUGCCCUCCGAGCAGUGCUACGCCUAAGGGGCAGAUUGGACGCCACAGAGAGCCAUUAAGGGCCACCAAGGGCUUCUCAUCUGGGCUCUGGUCUAAAGAGGAAUAGCCUUUAUUGGGCACUACCAACCUGUGGGGAGGGAACACAGAGAGAGAGAGAGGACAGAGGAGAAAUUAUCAUUGGAGCAAAAAUAGCAUGUAACAGAAGAAGAGGUGGAGGAAGGAAUAUAAAUUCCCGAACAGGAAGGGAGAUUAUGCCGCAUCAACAAUCUUUUCAGGACAUCGAAUUUACAGCCGAUUACAGGAUAUGCUGAUUCCCACAGGCAGAGACUUGGCCUACAAAUACUGAAGCUCUUACUCACCUAUUUUCAUCUGCAGGGGUGAGGGCUUGUAGUUGAUAGUGACAGGUUCUCCCUCUCUGGUGUCUGAGUCUGCCUCUGAGGCUGUGGACGAGGCCGGGUCCUGGAGGCAAAUAGGAAGAUGGCAUGGACAGAACGAUGAGCAGAAAUGUGCAUUACUGAGGGCUUGAUGAAUAAUUUACGUCUUUUUGUAAUGCAUAAUAGACCCUUCUAUGCCCAGACAAUGUGAAUAAACAGUUCAUAAAGAGAUAAAA
Long non-coding RNA from Seriola aureovittata, 773 nucleotides. RefSeq lists it as uncharacterized. The transcript has 3 exons. The record is from RefSeq and is a predicted model, not a curated record. Lineage: Eukaryota; Metazoa; Chordata; Actinopteri; Carangiformes; Carangidae.